This 380-nucleotide ribosomal RNA is filed under the name uncultured bacterium. RNAcentral describes it as "bacterial SSU rRNA". It matches the Rfam family "Bacterial small subunit ribosomal RNA", at positions 28 to 402 of the family's 1533-position model. The record is from RNAcentral.
GACGAACGCUGGCGGCGUGCUUAACACAUGCAAGUGGAGCGACGAACCAGGGCUUGCCCUGGGGCAGAGCCGCGAACGGGUGAGUAACACGUGGGUAACGUACCCCGAUGACUGGGACAACCCGGGGAAACCCGGGCUAAUACCGGAUGUGCACCCUCACAUCAGUGAGGUGUGUAAAGGAAGCUUCGGCCUCCGCAUUGGGAUCGGCCCGCGGCGCAUUAGCUUGUUGGUGAGGUAACGGCUCACCAAGGCCGCGAUGCGUAGCUGGUCUGAGAGGACGAUCAGCCACACUGGGACUGAGACACGGCCCAGACUCCUACGGGAGGCAGCAGUGGGGAAUCUUGCGCAAUGCGCGAAAGCGUGACGCAGCAACGCCGCGU